This 434-nucleotide ribosomal RNA is filed under the name uncultured Clostridium sp. Its description in RNAcentral is "partial 16S ribosomal RNA". It matches the Rfam family "Bacterial small subunit ribosomal RNA", at positions 341 to 792 of the family's 1533-position model. Lineage: Bacteria; Bacillati; Bacillota; Clostridia; Eubacteriales; Clostridiaceae. The record is from RNAcentral.
ACGGAAGGCAGCAGUGGGGGAUAUUGCGCAAUGGAGGAAACUCUGAUGCAGCAACGCCGCGUGAAGGAAGAAGGCCUUCGGGUUGUAAACUUCUGUCCUUGGUGACGAUAAUGACGGUAGCCAAAGAGGAAGCCACGGCUAACUACGUGCCAGCAGCCGCGGUAAUACGUAGGUGGCAAGCGUUGUCCGGAAUUGCUGGGUGUAAAGGGUGCGUAGGCGGCUCAUAAAGUCAGAUGUGAAAUACCGAGGCUCAACCUCGGAGCUGCAUUUGAAACUUAUGGGCUUGAGUGAAGUAGAGGUAAGCGGAAUUCCUAGUGUAGCGGUGAAAUGCGUAGAUAUUAGGAGGAACACCAGUGGCGAAGGCGGCUUACUGGGCUUUAACUGACGCUGAGGCUCGAAAGCGUGGGGAGCAAACAGGAUUAGAUACCCUGGUA